UGCUCCCAUCCGUCGACUGUCUCUCUUCCUUCUCUUCUUUUCUCUUUAAUAUAAUUUCUCCCCCAAAUUGAUUUCAAAUCCCUAACUCCUCCAUCUCUCUCCCUCCUCUCGGUCGACAUUGCAGGCAGCCGCCCCUGCCGCGCCUGACGGAGGCGUGCCACCAUCUCCGGCGAAUCGAGACCUACGUUCAUCGAUCUCUCGCCGUCUUCUUUUCGGAACCGAGAGGCAGGGCUAAAUCGUGCAGAGGUGGCGGCGCUCCUCUUCCUCUCGCGGCGGAGUCGCCGGUGGGAAGAAGGCGUCGCCUUUUCCACUCCACGGCGUCGCUCCUCGAUGGAACCGCCGCCACCAUCAACCGCACGCUUCACCUCCGUCACUACACGGCGUCUCAGCGCCGUCGAGCUACCGUCGCCGUCGUUCACUCCCGGCGUUUGCGCACCAUUACCGAAGUCCAGCAAGGCUCGUCGUCCUCUGGCGAGGUCUCUGCCUCAGUUGCUGUUCGGUGAAGCUCGAGGCGCCGCCCUCUCACCUUCGCUGUUCCGACUAAAGCUAAGCUAUCUAUAACCCAACUCAAACUCUUUCGUCAAUUGCAAAUUUUCCAUUGUUAUUUCUUAGAUUAUUUGAGAUGUUGAGCAUGUGGCAGUAGCGUUUUGUUCCUCAGUUUCCAUCAUGUAAUAUAACUCCAAAUUUCUUCAUGCUUGGUGUCUUUUUCUUUUCUACUGAUUUACUUGAGAUUUAGCAUGCUAAAUGAGUUUUCUAUGUGGCGGUGUCUCUAUGUGAUGUUGUGAUUCAUGCUUGAGUUUGAGGAAAAGAAAGGGAUAUGGAGGUUACCUUUUUUUCACCACUUUGUAUCUUGCUCCUAGACUUGUCUCUCUCGCACUCUCUACGCAUUAUCUUGCUAAUUGGUAUGUGGUGGUGAGAGAGGGUGAGACCGAGGGGUUAUCUCCCCAUAUAUAGAGGGUGUGUAACUGAAAGCUGCUGUUUAGUGCAGGAAAAAGGGUCCCCACGUUGAUUGUAUGUCGGCUGAUCCUCCUGCAACAAGGCAGGGCAUGUACUCGUAAAAAUAAAUGCGAUUCCAUCCUCAUUUGCUACUCUACUGCAGUGGCCUUAUUCCCCUGUCUUUGCAGCACUCUAUCUGAGUUUUUGGUACGGUUUUUGCAGGGACUGAGCUCUGUAAGGUGGUUAACUGAAUCUCUGCAGUUGAAGCUCUGUAGAGCAGCUGUAGUUGUGCCCCUUUUCUUGGCUCGUAGCGGCUGGACAUGGGCUGGAGAUGUGAAGGAGUUGCACUACUGCAGGCUGUCCCAAUUGAGGUCAUGGCUAACUACCGAGAGCGGGUUCCCUAGAUGUCUCGGCUCAUCGGGCUGUCGGCACAAUCGGACCGAAAUCCAAGCUAAGAAGGAAGGCUCGAAGCUAGUAGUUUCAUUUGUAAGGAGAUAGGGUUCUUACUCGUAAUUUUCUCCUUUUCUUUAACAUGUAAACAAGUCUCUGUAAUAUUUCAUGUGUAUUUCGUUUCCUUUGUUUUUCUUUGUCAACAUCUGUAAUUUAAGACUUAUCUCGAUACUAAAUGUUGAGUUUUUUUUUGUUUACUCAAGAAUUGAACCAA
Long non-coding RNA from Salvia splendens (bonfire salvia), 1600 nucleotides. RefSeq lists it as uncharacterized. The transcript is spliced from 2 exons. Lineage: Eukaryota; Viridiplantae; Streptophyta; Magnoliopsida; Lamiales; Lamiaceae. The record is from RefSeq and is a predicted model, not a curated record.